RNAcentral lists this transfer RNA (61 nucleotides) under Helicana wuana. RNAcentral's name for it is "tRNA-Cys". The record is from RNAcentral. Lineage: Eukaryota; Metazoa; Arthropoda; Malacostraca; Decapoda; Varunidae.
ACCUUAUAGUAUAAAAAUAAUAUUAAAUUGCAAGUUUAAAGAUGUGUUGAUCACUAGGGUU